This 497-nucleotide ribosomal RNA is filed under the name uncultured bacterium. Its description in RNAcentral is "partial 16S ribosomal RNA". It matches the Rfam family "Bacterial small subunit ribosomal RNA", at positions 28 to 507 of the family's 1533-position model. The record is from RNAcentral.
GAUGAACGCUGGCGGCGUGCCUAAUACAUGCCAGUCGAGCGAACGGACGAGAAGCUUGCUUCUCUGAUGUUAGCGGCGGACGGGUGAGUAACACGUGGAUAACCUCCCUAUCAGACUGGGAUCACUUCGGGAAACCGGAGCUAAUACCGGAUGAUAUUUUGAUCCGCAUGGUUCAAAAGUGAAAGACGGUCUUGCUGUCACUUCUCGAUGGAUCCGCGCUGCAUUAGCUAGUUGGUAAGGUAACGGCUUACCAAGGCAACGAUGCAUAGCCGACCUGAGAGGGUGAUCGGCCACACUGGAACUGAGACACGGUCCAGACUCCUACGGGAGGCAGCAGUAGGGAAUCUUCCGCAAUGGGCGAAAGCCUGACGGAGCAACGCCGCGUGAGUGAUGAAGGUCUUCGGAUCGUAAAACUCUGUUAUUAGGGAAGAACAGAUGUGUAAGUAACUGUGCACAGCUUGACGGUACCUAAUCAGAAAGCCACGGCUAACUACGUG